RNAcentral lists this ribosomal RNA (640 nucleotides) under Variovorax paradoxus. Its description in RNAcentral is "bacterial SSU rRNA". It matches the Rfam family "Bacterial small subunit ribosomal RNA", at positions 124 to 758 of the family's 1533-position model. Lineage: Bacteria; Pseudomonadati; Pseudomonadota; Betaproteobacteria; Burkholderiales; Comamonadaceae. The record is from RNAcentral.
ACGUGCCCAAUCGUGGGGGAUAACGCAGCGAAAGCUGUGCUAAUACCGCAUACGAUCUACGGAUGAAAGCAGGGGAUCGCAAGACCUUGCGCGAAUGGAGCGGCCGAUGGCAGAUUAGGUAGUUGGUGAGGUAAAGGCUCACCAAGCCUUCGAUCUGUAGCUGGUCUGAGAGGACGACCAGCCACACUGGGACUGAGACACGGCCCAGACUCCUACGGGAGGCAGCAGUGGGGAAUUUUGGACAAUGGGCGCAAGCCUGAUCCAGCCAUGCCGCGUGCAGGAUGAAGGCCUUCGGGUUGUAAACUGCUUUUGUACGGAACGAAACGGCCUUUUCUAAUAAAGAGGGCUAAUGACGGUACCGUAAGAAUAAGCACCGGCUAACUACGUGCCAGCAGCCGCGGUAAUACGUAGGGUGCAAGCGUUAAUCGGAAUUACUGGGCGUAAAGCGUGCGCAGGCGGUAAUGUAAGACAGUUGUGAAAUCCCCGGGCUCAACCUGGGAACUGCAUCUGUGACUGCAUUGCUGGAGUACGGCAGAGGGGGAUGGAAUUCCGCGUGUAGCAGUGAAAUGCGUAGAUAUGCGGAGGAACACCGAUGGCGAAGGCAAUNCCCCUGGGCCUGUACUGACGCUCAUGCACGAAA